RNAcentral lists this ribosomal RNA (468 nucleotides) under uncultured bacterium. RNAcentral's name for it is "partial 16S ribosomal RNA". It matches the Rfam family "Bacterial small subunit ribosomal RNA", at positions 28 to 507 of the family's 1533-position model. The record is from RNAcentral.
GACGAACGCUGGCGGCGUGCUUAACACAUGCAAGUCGAACGGAAAGGCCCUGCUUUUGUGGGGUGCUCGAGUGGCGAACGGGUGAGUAGCACGUGAGUAACCUGCCCUUGACUUUGGGAUAACUUCAGGAAACUGGGGCUAAUACCGGAUAGGAGCUCCUGCUGCAUGGUGGGGGUUGGAAAGUUUCGGCGGUUGGGGAUGGACUCGCGGCUUAUCAGCUUGUUGGUGGGGUAGUGGCUUACCAAGGCUUUGACGGGUAGCCGGCCUGAGAGGGUGACCGGCCAUAUUGGGACUGAGAUACGGCCCAGACUCCUACGGGAGGCAGCAGUGGGGAAUAUUGCACAAUGGGCGGAAGCCUGAUGCAGCAACGCCGCGUGCGGGAUGACGGCCUUCGGGUUGUAAACCGCUUUCGCCUGUGACGAAGCGUGAGUGACGGUAAUGGGUAAAGAAGCACCGGCUAACUACGUG